Molecule: ribosomal RNA, 489 nt
Filed under: uncultured bacterium
Lineage: Bacteria
Description: bacterial SSU rRNA
Rfam family: Bacterial small subunit ribosomal RNA
Source: RNAcentral
UGGCUCAGAUUGAACGCUGGCGGCAUGCCUAACACAUGCAAGUCGAACGGCAGCACAGCAGUAGCAAUACUGUGGGUGGCGAGUGGCGGACGGGUGAGUAAUGCAUCGGGACCUACCCAGACGUGGGGGAUAACGUAGGGAAACUUACGCUAAUACCGCAUACGUCCUACGGGAGAAAGCGGGGGAUCGAAAGACCUCGCGCGGUUGGACGGACCGAUGUGCGAUUAGCUAGUUGGUAGGGUAAUGGCCUACCAAGGCGACGAUCGCUAGCUGGUCUGAGAGGAUGAUCAGCCACACUGGGACUGAGACACGGCCCAGACUCCUACGGGAGGCAGCAGUGGGGAAUAUUGGACAAUGGGCGCAAGCCUGAUCCAGCAAUGCCGCGUGUGUGAAGAAGGCCUUCGGGUUGUAAAGCACUUUUAUCAGGAACGAAAUACCACGGGUUAAUAUACCUAGGGGGCUGNCGGUACCUGAGGAAUAAGCCCCGGC